AAUGUGAACGUUACCAAACUGUUGCCUCGGCGGGAUCUCUGCCCCGGGUGCGUCGCAGCCCCGGACCAAGGCGCCCGCCGGAGGACCAACCAAAACUCUUAUUGUAUACCCCCUCGCGGGUUUUUUUAUAAUCUGAGCCUUCUCGGCGCCUCUCGUAGGCGUUUCGAAAAUGAAUCAAAACUUUCAACAACGGAUCUCUUGGUUCUGGCAUCGAUGAAGAACGCAGCGAAAUGCGAUAAGUAAUGUGAAUUGCAGAAUUCAGUGAAUCAUCGAAUCUUUGAACGCACAUUGCGCCCGCCAGUAUUCUGGCGGGCAUGCCUGUCCGAGCGUCAUUUCAACCCUCGAACCCCUCCGGGGGGUCGGCGUUGGGGAUCGGCCCUCCCUUAGCGGGUGGCCGUCUCCGAAAUACAGUGGCGGUCUCGCCGCAGCCUCUCCUGCGCAGUAGUUUGCACACUCGCAUCGGGAGCGCGGCGCGUCCACAGCCGUUAAACACCCAACUUCUGAAAUGUUGACCUCGGAUCAGGUAGGAAUACCCGCUGAACUUAAGCAUAUCAAUAAGCGGAGGAAAAGAAACCAACAGGGAUUGCCCCAGUAACGGCGAGUGAAGCGGCAACAGCUCAAAUUUGAAAUCUGGUCCCUAGGGCCCGAGUUGUAAUUUGUAGAGGAUGCUUUUGGUGAGGUGCCGCCCGAGUUCCCUGGAACGGGACGCCACAGAGGGUGAGAGCCCCGUCUGGCUGGCCGCCGAGCCUCUGUAAAGCUCCUUCGACGAGUCGAGUAGUUUGGGAAUGCUGCUCAAAAUGGGAGGUAUAUGUCUUCUAAAGCUAAAUAUUGGCCAGAGACCGAUAGCGCACAAGUAGAGUGAUCGAAAGAUGAAAAGCACCUUGAAAAGAGGGUUAAAUAGUACGUGAAAUUGUUGAAAGGGAAGCGCUUGUGACCAGACUUGGGCGCGGCGGAUCAUCCGGGGUUCUCUCCGGUGCACUUCGCCGCGUCUAGGCCAGCAUCAGUUCGUCGCGGGGGAAAAAGGCUUCGGGAACGUGGCUCCUCCGGGAGUGUUAUAGCCCGUUGCAUAAUACCCUGCGGUGGACUGAGGACCGCGCAUC
This 1100-nucleotide small RNA is filed under the name Trichoderma harzianum. RNAcentral describes it as "eukaryotic LSU rRNA". The stretch from base 510 to 1100 matches the Rfam family "Eukaryotic large subunit ribosomal RNA", at positions 1 to 601 of the family's 3401-position model. Lineage: Eukaryota; Fungi; Ascomycota; Sordariomycetes; Hypocreales; Hypocreaceae. The record is from RNAcentral.